CCUACGGGGGGCUGCAGUGAGGAAUAUUGGUCAAUGGGCGCGAGCCUGAACCAGCCAAGUCGCGUGAGGGAGGACGGCCCUACGGGUUGUAAACCUCUUUUGCCGGGGAGCAACGGGCGCCACGUGUGGCGUCACUGAGAGUACCCGGAGAAAAAGCAUCGGCUAACUCCGUGCCAGCAGCCGCGGUAAUACGGAGGAUGCGAGCGUUAUCCGGAUUUAUUGGGGUUAAAGGGUGCGUAGGCGGAUCGUUAAGUCAGUGGUCAAAUUGAGGGGCUCAACCCCUUCCCGCCAUUGAAACUGGCGUUGGUGAGUGGAGGAGGGGUAUGGGGAGGGGGGGGUGGAGCGGUGAGAUGCAUAGGUAGGGCGCAG
Molecule: ribosomal RNA, 369 nt
Filed under: uncultured bacterium
Lineage: Bacteria
Description: partial 16S ribosomal RNA
Rfam family: Bacterial small subunit ribosomal RNA
Source: RNAcentral